Molecule: ribosomal RNA, 496 nt
Filed under: uncultured bacterium
Lineage: Bacteria
Description: partial 16S ribosomal RNA
Rfam family: Bacterial small subunit ribosomal RNA
Source: RNAcentral
AUGCACGCUGGCGGCGUGCCUAAUACAUGCCAGUCGAGCGAACAGACGAGGAGCUUGCUCCUCUGACGUUAGCGGCGGACGGGUGAGUAACACGUGGAUAACCUACCUAUAAGACCGGGAUAACUUCGGGAAACCGGAGCUAAUACCGGAUAAUAUAUUGAACCGCAUGGUUCAAUAGUGAAAGACGGUUUUGCUGUCACUUAUAGAUGGAUCCGCGCCGCAUUAGCUAGUUGGUAAGGUAACGGCUUACCAAGGCAACGAUGCGUAGCCGACCUGAGAGGGUGAUCGGCCACACUGGAACUGAGACACGGUCCAGACUCCUACGGGAGGCAGCAGUAGGGAAUCUUCCGCAAUGGGCGAAAGCCUGACGGAGCAACGCCGCGUGAGUGAUGAAGGUCUUCGGAUCGUAAAACUCUGUUAUUAGGGAAGAACAAAUGUGUAAGUAACUAUGCACGUCUUGACGGUACCUAAUCAGAAAGCCACGGCUAACUACGUG